Molecule: ribosomal RNA, 253 nt
Filed under: uncultured bacterium
Lineage: Bacteria
Description: partial 16S ribosomal RNA
Rfam family: Bacterial small subunit ribosomal RNA
Source: RNAcentral
UACGGAGGGUGCGAGCGUUGUCCGGAAUCACUGGGCGUAAAGGGCGCGUAGGCGGCCGGGUAAGGGGGCGGUGAAAGCCCGGGGCUCAACCCCGGGUCGGCCGUGCGGACUGCCGGGCUCGAGCACUGUAGAGGCGGGUGGAAUUCCGGGUGUAGCGGUGGAAUGCGUAGAGAUCCGGAAGAACACCGGUGGCGAAGGCGGCCCGCUGGGCAGUGGCUGACGCUGAGGCGCGACAGCGUGGGGAGCAAACAGG